This is a long non-coding RNA of Pelmatolapia mariae (spotted tilapia), 463 nucleotides long. RefSeq lists it as uncharacterized. The record is from RefSeq and is a predicted model, not a curated record. NCBI's taxonomy places the organism in Eukaryota, Metazoa, Chordata, Actinopteri, Cichliformes, Cichlidae. The transcript is spliced from 3 exons.
CGAGCAGACGCUCACCAUCUGUCUUGACUAAUCAUCACUAUGACACUUGGAGUGAAGACAGUGAGAAAAGAUGCUCAUUAUCAGAUAGCAACAGAUAUAUAUUAAAGUGACUGGUGUUUAAAUUAGCAGACCCUUGUCUUUUGUGGGAGGAAAGAGGUCAGCCAACAGGAGAUGGCCUCAGCCAGCCCUCUGGAUUAGAAACAUCAGCAGCCUGCAAAAUUACUCUGACAACUGUAUGGUGGUUGGAUGUAUUGGGAGUACAGAGCAGUAGUGGACGGUUUUGUGGAGUGGUCUGGGAGGAAUCAUCUGCUUCCGAGAGAUGGUGAUCGAGUUUAGAAGGAAGAGGACAGCCACACAACCCAAUCCUGGGACAAGACGUUGAUGUGGUGCCAGGGUGCAAGUAUCUGGGGAUCCACAUAAACAACAGACUGAAUUGGAAGACCAAUAAAGAGGCCAUAUACAA